This 253-nucleotide ribosomal RNA is filed under the name uncultured bacterium. RNAcentral's name for it is "partial 16S ribosomal RNA". It matches the Rfam family "Bacterial small subunit ribosomal RNA", at positions 524 to 776 of the family's 1533-position model. The record is from RNAcentral.
UACGUAGGGGGCAAGCGUUGUCCGGAUUUAUUGGGCGUAAAGGGCGUGUAGGCGGCCUGGUAGGUCGGUUGUGAAAACUUGAGGCUUAACCUCGAGACGUCGACCGAAACCACCUGGCUAGAGUCCGGAAGAGGAGAGUGGAAUUCCUGGUGUAGCGGUGAAAUGCGCAGAUAUCAGGAAGAACACCCGUGGCGAAAGCGGCUCUCUGGAACGGUACUGACGCUGAGACGCGAAAGCGUGGGGAGCGAACAGG